AAGUCACCAAGUGUAGAACAGAGGAAGGCGUGCCAUCCUCUCAUUGGAAACACGAAGUUCUCACAAUAAUGGGAGUGUCACAACAUUUUUUUUCAACCCUUAAGAACUGUCUUUUUUUAAUGCUAUCGUGUUUUGAAUCUUUGUUGUUUUCUGAUUUCUCGUUACCUGUUCAUUCGUGACAGUUGAAAAAUCAAGCACCAGGAUUUAUUUCGCGUGGAGCAGUUUGGAUGGAGUUUUUAGCGGCGAAAGAGCCGCGAACUUAGGAUGUCUUCAGGCGCAUCACGCGCGACGACACCAGGAUGCUUUACAAGCACAGCAAGCACCUGAGUGGACGAUACAAGAAGUCUGCACAUCACUUGGUCUGGCUCCUCUGUCUUUGGGUUCACCUCUUGCCUCAAGUGGAUGGCUUCUUUAUGUCUAAUGCUAAGGCUGUCCUGCAAGGGUGUGAUGACUACUGGACCUUACAGGAGAAGGAGCGUAUGCCUCUGCUCUUUCAAACCACGGUAUGCGUGGACAUACAGGUCCUUUCCCCAGGCGAGUGGACAGCAUUUAACUAUGUCUCGGCCCCUGCACCCAGCUAUGAACUUGCUCUCCAAGGGGAUGCAAACAACCUGUACGCCUGGUUGUUGGGUGUACGCCACCAGUUCCCUGUCCAGCUAACCACUAAUCGCUGGUACCACAUAUGUCUACGGUUGGACGCCCCUCGCAAAAGCUUCAGCCUGACGAUAGGUGGCAACUCGGAAGUAUUCCAGCGGACCGUCAUUGCCCGAACAAUCCGUCCUUCGGGGCGUCUUCUGCUGGGUUGCCAACCAAACAAAGCCUCCCCUGGGGCAAAAAUGGCCACCGUGGAGCUCUACCUGUUCCGCAUUUGGGACGAUGUUGGUGAGCACAAAGCCUGCGAGGAUGGGACAGUGAUUGGCUGGGACUCACGACUUUGGGCCAUCACACGAGCCCAGGCUAGAGUCCAAGAUUAUACAUUGCAAUGUGGUCUAGGGCAUCUGCGUAUGAAACGCAGUGCAGACAGUACUACAACUUCAUCCACAUCCCAAGUUUCAGCCAGCACCCCAGACUUUGUCUCGACAUCUAGUCCACUCCAAAUGAUUUUGACUUCAAUAAUCACUGGUUCACUGAAAUCCAUCACCCAAGGACAGAGCCUUCAAUCUUUGAACCAGGCCUUAAACACAGUCCCUGCUUCAACCCCACAAGCCAGAACCACACCAGAUCCUGCAGGACUCUCUACAACAACUUCUAUACCUCCAGUGACUCUCAGUGCACCAACACAAAUUCCCCUCACAUCAGAUACUACAUUAAACAAUCUUACACCCACUAUUCAGGCUGUUUCAGCUGUUAACACUAGUGGAUUAAACACGUCCGCUCCAACUCCAGCCUCACCUAUGUCUUACAUAACCACUCAAACUACCCAGAGCACGUCAACAUCUGCCCAGUCACUUUCAAGCUAUCACACUAGCCAACCAGUCAGUACUUUUGAAACAACAGUCAAUCAUAGGACAGAAAUCUCUUCCACUGCACCAACUGUCACGACUCAAGUAACCAAUCAGACAGCGCUUCUACGAACAACGAUGUCCAAUGUAUUAUUCACAGGUAUGGCUAUUAUCACUGCGUUCUGA
Molecule: long non-coding RNA, 1628 nt
Filed under: Carassius auratus (goldfish)
Lineage: Eukaryota; Metazoa; Chordata; Actinopteri; Cypriniformes; Cyprinidae
Description: lncRNA (ENSCARG00000063156.1)
Source: RNAcentral